GGAGGCAGCAGUAGGGAAUCUUCCACAAUGGACGAAAGUCUGAUGGAGCAAUGCCGCGUGAGUGAAGAAGGUUUUCGGAUCGUAAAACUCUGUUGUUGAAGAAGAACAUAUGUGAGAGUAACUGUUCACGUACUGACGGUAUUCAACCAGAAAGCCACGGCUAACUACGUGCCAGCAGCCGCGGUAAUACGUAGGUGGCAAGCGUUGUCCGGAUUUAUUGGGCGUAAAGAGAAUGUAGGCGGUUUAUUAAGUUUGAAGUGAAAGCCCUCGGCUCAACCGAGGAAGUGCUUCGAAAACUGGUAAACUUGAGUGCAGAAGAGGAAAGUGGAACUCCAUGUGUAGCGGUGGAAU
RNAcentral lists this ribosomal RNA (351 nucleotides) under Companilactobacillus paralimentarius. RNAcentral describes it as "bacterial SSU rRNA". It matches the Rfam family "Bacterial small subunit ribosomal RNA", at positions 344 to 687 of the family's 1533-position model. The record is from RNAcentral. Lineage: Bacteria; Bacillati; Bacillota; Bacilli; Lactobacillales; Lactobacillaceae.